Long non-coding RNA from Chinchilla lanigera (long-tailed chinchilla), 430 nucleotides. RefSeq lists it as uncharacterized. The transcript has 2 exons. NCBI's taxonomy places the organism in Eukaryota, Metazoa, Chordata, Mammalia, Rodentia, Chinchillidae. The record is from RefSeq and is a predicted model, not a curated record.
GGAAGAACCAGAAGCUGAAAGAUGCCAGAUCUGCAGUGGCAAAGCUUAUUUGAGAAAGUAGAAGUGAAGAGUGGGAGAGAAACUGGCUCUGCAGAGCAAUAUUGGACCGAGUAAAGAGAAAAAAGAGGGAAAGAACGAAGAUAAAAGUACACGCUGCAUCUGGGAAGCGCAGCGUGGGCUACCAUGGAAAGCUGUGAUAGUGCAUACUUUUAAUUUCUAAGACUCUAAUUGAUCCUUUAAAAAAAAAUACAUGUCCCUCAACAGCGGCUGUAUGUUCACCAGGUAUUGUUUUAUCUGUGGCAGCAAAAUACUUAUUUAAAAAAAUACUUGUAUACUAUCAUCUGCCUUCUAGAUGUAUGAGUUCUAUAUCCUUGGAUUCAAACAACUGCAGAUUGAAAAUAUUUGGAAAAAAAUUACAUCAGAGCACGUA